This 97-nucleotide microRNA precursor is filed under the name Equus caballus (horse). Its description in RNAcentral is "mir-544 microRNA precursor family". It matches the Rfam family "mir-544 microRNA precursor family". Lineage: Eukaryota; Metazoa; Chordata; Mammalia; Perissodactyla; Equidae. The record is from Rfam by way of RNAcentral.
AUCACCUGGAGAGCUUGUUAAAAAGCAGAUUCUGAUUUGGAAGUCUGGGGCAAGGCUUGAGAGUCUGCAUUUCCAACAAGCUCCCAGGUGCUGGUGC